UGGGGAAUCUUGCGCAAUGGGCGAAAGCCUGACGCAGCGACGCCGCGUGCGGGAAGAAGGCCUUCGGGUUGUAAACCGCUUUCAGGAGGGACGAAGCCACUCGGGUUAAUAGCCCAGAGGGUGACGGUACCUCCAGAAGAAGCCCCGGCUAACUACGUGCCAGCAGCCGCGGUAAUACGUAGGGGGCUAGCGUUGUCCGGAUUUAUUGGGCGUAAAGAGCGCGUAGGCGGCCGAGUAAGUCCGACGUGAAAUCUGGAGGCUCAACCUCCAGCGGUCGUUGGAAACUACUCGGCUAGAGUCCGGAAGAGGAGAGUGGAAUUCCUGGUGUAGCGGUGAAAUGCGCAGAUAUCAGGAAGAACACCGAUGGCGAAAGCAGCUCUCUGGGGCGGUACUGACGCUGAGGCGCGAAAGCGUGGGGAGCGAACAGGAUUAGAUACCCUGGUAGUCCACGCCGUAAACGAUGGGUGCUAGGUGUGGGCGGUGUCGACUCCGCCGUGCCG
RNAcentral lists this ribosomal RNA (500 nucleotides) under uncultured Actinomycetes bacterium. Its description in RNAcentral is "bacterial SSU rRNA". It matches the Rfam family "Bacterial small subunit ribosomal RNA", at positions 355 to 848 of the family's 1533-position model. The record is from RNAcentral. Lineage: Bacteria; Bacillati; Actinomycetota; Actinomycetes.